UUUAAAAAAAACAAAUGAAUAAAAUGGCAAAGAAUGGUUUAUGUAUUUCAGAUGACAUUUUUUUCUUCCAAAUCUGAGAAUAUUCCAUGAUUAUGCAAAGAGCUUGCAGAUAAUGUUAAAAUUAAUUUAUUACCCUAACUUCCUAAACAUUUAAAUUCUUUAUUUUGACCAUUAAAAUACCAGAUAAUGCUAUUUCAUUGUUUCUACUUAUGUUAGAUUGUUAAAUUCAUUUCCAGCAAUUAUAUGUGAAUGGUAUUACUGUAGUACAUUUUUCUACAAAUUAACGUAUGUACUGUAUUAAAUGUCUUAGUGUUAGAGAUAAAUAAAUUUGAUUGUCAUCUUAGCAUUACCACUAUGUUCUUAUUGCUAAAUGUUUGAUGUAAAGAAGACUAGAUAGUCUCUUUUGAUGUCUUAGAUGCUAUUGGUGAAAUUGACAUUUAAGAAGCUUGAUUUUGACAAUACCAUUUAGGAUGGCCAAAUAUAUCACAGACUGGUAUUAUGAGAAUAGGCAGGCAAUAAUAAGCAUGAGAAUAAGCAUGGAAGUUAUAAUUUCCUUCUUCCUUUCUAUGAAGUUUUUAAUUUUUGAUCCUUGCUUACAGCAAACCAUGAACAAGUAUGGCCUAUCUGGAUGAACUAGAAAAUUAUUGGUAAACAGGGGUAGAUGUUCCUAACCGAAUGAUGUGAGCAGUGGAGACUGGUUGCUCUAAUGUCAGUGAUGGCUGUGGGCUUUUGUUUGAACACUAAAGAAGCAAUACAAGUUUUUCACUUGGCAAGCCUUCUAGAGAGGGUACAGAAGGUGAUGUUCUGCCUCUCUCCUGAUAUGUUUACUCCACCUGAGAACCCUACUAGAGAAGGCUCAGCAGAAGAACAUAGUUCUUACCAGUUGUUCUCUGUUUGUGGGCUCCUCUGAAGAGGACCUGUUGUUUAAUGGAAAGCCAGCUCACCUUAGGCAAGCCCUUUGGAAUCAUCAGUUGCUGUCUCUUCUGGUUCCUCUGGAGAGCAUUUCUCUAGCCUGGAAAAGGUCUCAGAGAGGUGCUCCCAGUUGUAAAACAGAGAAGAAUUGAAUUUUAAAUGCUGACUAUGGAAAAUGCUAACUGUACUCAAAGCAUCUUUCAGAUGUUUCUGAAGACCACCAUUUUUAAAUCCCUGAAAAUGUGCUGCCGGUGCCCCUACUGUGAUGACAUCAUAAAGAACAUCUGCAAUAGGAAUAGACAAAUAUUGAGAUUUAAAGGUGCACAUGAAAAGACAAGGACACAUUGCUUAUAAUAGCAGAGUGUUCCUCUUUUGGAAACACAUGCCUCUUAUUCCAGAAAGCUUCAAUAAGAUUGAAGGGUGUGGCUUAAAAUGUUUUACUAUGCUAUUCCUGGAUAUUUGCAUCAAACAAACAUAAAAACUUAUCUCAGAGAAAAGUCAUCUGAAAGUAUUGACUCUAAGGUGUGGAUCAAUGGGAAAUUGUAGCUUUCUUACAGCAAAGGCUUCUUAGGUGGUGGGGGGAAAAUCAUUUCUAUAAUUUCACCAACUUACACUACUCUUGCUUUGUUGGCAGUAAAACAGAACAACAGUACUUUCUUAAUAUGAUUUAGUGUGGCAUGAUAUUAUUCUUUGACAUUUAACUCCAACCUCAUUCCCAUCUUAUUGUAAUUUGUACCACACCCCUCAAGGUAUGUGGCAGCUCAAGUGGUUGUGAUGCUGACUCUGUUGAUUGCAAGAUCGGCAGGUUGGCAGUUUGAGGCCCAGGUGAUGGGGUGAGCUCCCAUUACUAGUCCCAGUUUCUGCCAACCUAGCAGUUCAAAAGAAUGCAAAUGCAAGUAGAUAAAUAGAUGCCACUUUGGUGGGAAGGUAAACAGCGUUCUCAGUAAUCAUGUUGGUCACAAGAUCACAGAGUAAUCUCUGAUAACACUGGCUCUUUGGCUUAGUAACAGAGAUGGGCACCACCCCUUCUGGUUGGACACGAUUUGACAACCUUGUCAACAGGGAAUACCUUUACCUUUUACCACACUCCUUCUCCUUUUCCUUCCACCUUUACCUUGACACAUCCCCUUAUUGCCACCAUUCUAGAAGUGAACUUAGCAAAACACAGCCAUCUAGGAGUCAGGUUUUGCAACAGAACCUGAACCAAGUUUGUAAUCAGACUGUAGUUUACCUUUCAACCGUGGACUGUGCACAUACAUUCUUUGCAGAUGUAGAUUGACUGGAACGAAUUCUAGAGUUUUUUCCCCUUUACUACAACUUGAUUUGAAGGAAGAACCUGGAAAGUGAACGUUUAAAAAUUAAUUAUCUGAAGAUGUUCACCAGAUAUUUUUUUUCUUGCAAUUAACAUGCCAGGAUAAUUCCAUGUUGUGCAACAUUUCAUUGGCAUAAUGUUGGUAGAACUAAAAAAAAAAAACCUUUAUUUUUAAUGUGUUAUUGCACAUUAUGAACAGUGGUUUUUACUGUUUCUCUUAGCACAUAUCUCAAAAGCAGCUGUCAAUAUAUUUUUUAAUUCUCAGAAUUGGUAUCUUUGCCUCACCUAUCCUAAUAUCUGUGUCUUAUGCAGAUUUUAUUCGAUUCUACUUUAUUUUAUUUAUAUCCCACCUUCCUCCUGGCAUGGGACCCAGGGUAGCUUUUCUUAAUAGUCUUACUAUAGAAAAAUUGUACAAAGUAUCAAUUAGUUCAGAGUUUUAAUUGUUUUAUGAUUAUGCAUUUACAUGUUUGUGAAACAUGCUGGGACAAAGAACACACUGGAGCACCACCACAAACUACUUCAUUCUUUUAUUGAGAACAUUUUUUUAUUUUUAAAAAAACACCAAAGGUUGGCCAACUUGUGACAAUCAGGCAUAUGAGUGAGUCCUGGGUGUGUCCUGAAAACCCUGAAUAUAAAAGAAGCUCCCAGAAGAGGACCUUUCCUUCCACUCUUCCCCAGUGUAGUCCCCUGAAACCUCUGAAACAGUGUUGCUGAAAGGUCUAGGCCUCUAAACCAGAGGUAAGGCAUAAGCACCUUACAUGAAUAGAGUCCCAUGUCUCUAUGUAGAUUCUCUCUUCCCUGAUAUCUGAACUUACCACAUUCUAGAAAACCCCAUGAUCCUCAGGAGAAGCAUACUGUGGGCAUCAGUGAUCUGAACAGCAAGCAUGAAUAAAAAGCCUCUGUCACUGUGGGAUGCUAUGGUCUAUCAAGACUUUCUUAUAGGUCUUCAACAAAAUGCACAUGGAUUUGAUAGUUAUCCUUGUGAAAAGAUAUUUAGCACUCAUUUCUUAAGCUACAAACCCCUCAAUCAGUGCAACUGAAUGCCAUACGUUUUUUUCCAGGCUUCCAGUCCAUAAAGUGGGAUGCCUUUUCAUGCAGGAAACCCAUCAGGGCUAGCUGAAGCCUUCUUGUUGUACUGAAAAACUUAGCUCAAUCCACUACUACAAAAACUGAGAGGAGAAUUUCCUUCUAUUCAUGCCUCUGAGGAUACAAUAUGAAAAAAGAAUAGCUUCCAAUUGGCAAAAGGGUCAGAAAAAGCUGCAUUCUACCCACCUAUCUGAGUAAUUUAUAGACUCAGAGGAAGGCAGUGUGGAAACAUCUUGCAUUUAGGAUAUGCAGAUAUGCACCAUAUUACUAGCAAAAAACAGGGAAAAUGUGGAAGGCCUACUGAAGAAAGUUAAAUGUUACAUUAAGGAAAAAAGUGCCAAAACAAUGUUACAGCUGAAUGUUAAGAAAUGGCCCCAGAGAUCUACAUAAAGUUAAUAGUGUAUUAGUUGAUUAUUUUCUAUGCCUUGGCUCAUUCACAAACCAAAAUAGAGACUGCAAUCAUGGAAUCAGAAGACUAAAUUAAGAAGAAACUAGAUUAAAUUGUCAAGUGUAAAGAUAUAGCAUUGAAUACCAAUGUCAGAAUCAUCCAUGCCAUAGUAUCUCCAUAUUCUAUGUACGGUUGUGAAAGCUGAACAAAUAAGAAACCUGACAGGAAAAAAAAAACCAACUA
Molecule: long non-coding RNA, 3941 nt
Organism: Sceloporus undulatus (fence lizard)
Lineage: Eukaryota; Metazoa; Chordata; Lepidosauria; Squamata; Phrynosomatidae
Exons: 4
Source: RefSeq, a predicted model, not a curated record